RNAcentral lists this transfer RNA (60 nucleotides) under Chamberlainia hainesiana. RNAcentral's name for it is "tRNA-Gly". Lineage: Eukaryota; Metazoa; Mollusca; Bivalvia; Unionida; Unionidae. The record is from RNAcentral.
AUGUUGAUAGUAUACCAGUACAGUUGCCUUCCAAGCAAAAAGGCCAAGCCGGUCAACAUG